This 700-nucleotide ribosomal RNA is filed under the name Bacillus thuringiensis. RNAcentral describes it as "bacterial SSU rRNA". It matches the Rfam family "Bacterial small subunit ribosomal RNA", at positions 87 to 772 of the family's 1533-position model. Lineage: Bacteria; Bacillati; Bacillota; Bacilli; Caryophanales; Bacillaceae. The record is from RNAcentral.
UGAAGUUAGCGGCGGACGGGUGAGUAACACGUGGGUAACCUGCCCAUAAGACUGGGAUAACUCCGGGAAACCGGGGCUAAUACCGGAUAACAUUUUGAACUGCAUGGUUCGAAAUUGAAAGGCGGCUUCGGCUGUCACUUAUGGAUGGACCCGCGUCGCAUUAGCUAGUUGGUGAGGUAACGGCUCACCAAGGCAACGAUGCGUAGCCGACCUGAGAGGGUGAUCGGCCACACUGGGACUGAGACACGGCCCAGACUCCUACGGGAGGCAGCAGUAGGGAAUCUUCCGCAAUGGACGAAAGUCUGACGGAGCAACGCCGCGUGAGUGAUGAAGGCUUUCGGGUCGUAAAACUCUGUUGUUAGGGAAGAACAAGUGCUAGUUGAAUAAGCUGGCACCUUGACGGUACCUAACCAGAAAGCCACGGCUAACUACGUGCCAGCAGCCGCGGUAAUACGUAGGUGGCAAGCGUUAUCCGGAAUUAUUGGGCGUAAAGCGCGCGCAGGUGGUUUCUUAAGUCUGAUGUGAAAGCCCACGGCUCAACCGUGGAGGGUCAUUGGAAACUGGGAGACUUGAGUGCAGAAGAGGAAAGUGGAAUUCCAUGUGUAGCGGUGAAAUGCGUAGAGAUAUGGAGGAACACCAGUGGCGAAGGCGACUUUCUGGUCUGUAACUGACACUGAGGCGCGAAAGCGUGGGGAGCAAA